UUAGGUUUUCUUCAUUUUCUGAAAUUUUUCUCGGAAUUUUGUUGUUGAAUGUUGAUGGAGAUGAUAUGAAGAUGAAGAAGAUGAUAAG
Medicago truncatula (barrel medic) is the source of this 88-nucleotide microRNA precursor. It matches the Rfam family "MIR5298 microRNA precursor family". The record is from Rfam. Lineage: Eukaryota; Viridiplantae; Streptophyta; Magnoliopsida; Fabales; Fabaceae.